RNAcentral lists this ribosomal RNA (494 nucleotides) under uncultured bacterium. RNAcentral describes it as "partial 16S ribosomal RNA". It matches the Rfam family "Bacterial small subunit ribosomal RNA", at positions 28 to 523 of the family's 1533-position model. The record is from RNAcentral.
GACGAACGCUGGCGGCGUGCUUAACACAUGCAAGUCGAGCGAUGAACCUUUCAUGAAUUUUUCGGAAUGAUUGGAAGAGGAUUAGCGGCGGACGGGUGAGUAACGCGUGAGCAACCUGCCUUAAACAACGGGAUAGCCUCGGGAAACCGGGAUUAAUACCGUAUGAGACCCCGCCUACACAUGAAAAAGAGGUUAAAGAUUUAUCGGUUUAAGAUGGGCUCGCGUCUGAUUAGCUAGUUGGUGAGAUAAAAGCCCACCAAGGCAACGAUCAGUAACCGGCUUGAGAGAGUGAACGGUCACAUUGGAACUGAGACACGGUCCAAACUCCUACGGGAGGCAGCAGUGGGGAAUAUUGCACAAUGGGGGAAACCCUGAUGCAGCGACGCCGCGUGAGCGAUGAAGGAAUUCGUUUCGUAAAGCUCUGUCCAAGGGGAAGAUAAUGACAGUACCCUUGGAGGAAGCCCCGGCUAAAUACGUGCCAGCCGCCGCGGUAA